RNAcentral lists this transfer RNA (58 nucleotides) under Dipodomys ordii (Ord's kangaroo rat). It matches the Rfam family "tRNA", at positions 8 to 63 of the family's 71-position model. From Rfam's summary of the family: Transfer RNA (tRNA) molecules are approximately 80 nucleotides in length. Their secondary structure includes four short double-helical elements and three loops (D, anti-codon, and T loops). The record is from Rfam by way of RNAcentral. Lineage: Eukaryota; Metazoa; Chordata; Mammalia; Rodentia; Heteromyidae.
UAGCUCAGUGGUAGAGUGCUUGCCUCCCAUGCAUGAGACCCUGGGUUCGAUUCCUCAG